Molecule: ribosomal RNA, 465 nt
Filed under: uncultured bacterium
Lineage: Bacteria
Description: bacterial SSU rRNA
Rfam family: Bacterial small subunit ribosomal RNA
Source: RNAcentral
CCAGACUCCUACGGGAGGCAGCAGUGAGGAAUAUUGGUCAAUGGGCGCAAGCCUGAACCAGCCAAGUCGCGUGAGGGAAGACGGCCCUACGGGUUGUAAACCUCUUUUGCCGGGGAGCAAGCCUGAGCACGUGUGCCCAGGCGGAGAGUACCCGGAGAAAAAGCAUCGGCUAACUCCGUGCCAGCAGCCGCGGUAAUACGGAGGAUGCGAGCGUUAUCCGGAUUUAUUGGGUUUAAAGGGUGCGUAGGCGGUCCGUUAAGUCAGCGGUAAAAUUGCGGGGCUCAACCCCGUCGAGCCGUUGAAACUGGCAGACUUGAGUUGGCGAGAAGUACGCGGAAUGCGCGGUGUAGCGGUGAAAUGCAUAGAUAUCGCGCAGAACUCCGAUUGCGAAGGCAGCGUACCGGCGCCAGACUGACGCUGAGGCACGAAAGCGUGGGGAUCGAACAGGAUUAGAUACCCCGGUAG